UAACAAACUCCAAAUCCAAUUAACAAAAUAAUGUCCAAGCAUCAAGAUUAAUAUCGAAUUAAUAAAGUUAAAUCCAAACCAAUUCAGUAUAGGCCUCAGGGAAUUGUGUUAAGCAAAAUCGGUUGGGCUUUACACCAGGAGGCCCAACAGCCUCAGAUCCAAGGCCUGGGGUUGUGUUCACUACACGGAGAUGCAAGACCAAGCUCUGUUUGGGCCUUAAGGAGGUUAGGCCCAAAGUACAUGGAUAAGGAGGGAAACGGAGAAGCCUCACGCCAUUCAUCUUCUUCACGUUCAUCGGCCCCGAAACAGAGGAAAUGAGUUCCGUCGCACCUAACCGCGACGAAGAAACUAACCGCGCCAGUUCUCGCCACCGGAAGCGGCGGUGGUUCUAAAUGCGAAUCCUAAUCGCGAAUUAAAAUCGAAGCCUCGCAGAAUUACCUUCGGUGACGCGUUCGGCUUCGGAGACCACAGAGUAUGGAGGAGAUGACUCUUUCUAUCUUCCUCCAAAUUUGGUUCUAAUCUGCCUCCUAGUUCGACACCUCGCGCUUCCUAUCUGCAGAUCGAUAGUGACGUUGGAGUCGAUGAGAAAUAGUGUCGACACUGCGACGACGACCGAAUUCUUUAUCAAUCGGACUCGAAUCUUGACGCCAUUGAAUCAGGUAAUUGCAGGAGUGAGAUUGAAGGUCAUUCACGGAUCUAUGAAGGUUCGGUUAUAUGACGGUGAUCGGUACGUGCGUUGAAUCGCGGUGGAGACGGUGGUUGGUUUGUGGUUUGAUGGAGGUUGCGAUCGGGAAUUGGUUACGGUUGGGAAGAAAGUGGUGGAGGAUUCGGUUAGAGGGAAGGAGAAAGAGAGAAGAACGAGUUCGUUUACGAGCUGAGAGAGAGCUUCAAUACUAGUUCAUGCUCUUAUAUAGAGCUGUUUGAGUUUGGAUGUGAGGUUUUGUUAGUUGGGUGUGGCGUUAGCGAUUUCGUUUAAACUGCAUUUUUUUUUGUUGGCUCAUGGCUUUAGUAGCCCGUGUUGCUGUGGUUGCGUUUAUGCAGCUAGUAUUGAAGUUUUUGUCGGCGUGCGACUUGGGAGGUGCUGGCUUAGAAGCUUGUGCACCGCUUAUUGUAGCAGCUUGUUAGGCAUGAAUUUUCAUCGUCGCGUUUCAGCUGUUUUCGUUUUUGGCUCCCAGUUUUUAUAGCUUCUCAAUUUGCUCUCUCAAUGUGUUAUGCAGCUUGGAGCUUUGCGUUGGCUUGGCAUUUACACUACAGCUGGUUGAAUGUUGUUAGGCAGCUUGUUGAUGUUAUGGAGUUACCUGCAUUUUGGCUUGUGCAGUUUCCAUCGCCCUUUUAAUUUGGUUCGCUGAGUUUGGCCUGGCUUGGACACCGUAGCUUGUAGUCGUUGCAACUUUUGGAGUUUGGCUGCUGAAUUAGCAGCUUUGGAUGCUCAGCGUUCUUGCAUACGUGUACUCGCGUUUCAUGUUGUUGCCAUUUAGCUUGUAUUUCCACUGCAACUUGAUGCUUCACUUGGCAGCUUUUUCA
Molecule: long non-coding RNA, 1524 nt
Organism: Lathyrus oleraceus (garden pea)
Lineage: Eukaryota; Viridiplantae; Streptophyta; Magnoliopsida; Fabales; Fabaceae
Exons: 2
Source: RefSeq, a predicted model, not a curated record